Molecule: transfer RNA, 73 nt
Filed under: Capra hircus (goat)
Lineage: Eukaryota; Metazoa; Chordata; Mammalia; Artiodactyla; Bovidae
Also listed under: 1 other name
Rfam family: tRNA
About the family: Transfer RNA (tRNA) molecules are approximately 80 nucleotides in length.
Source: Rfam by way of RNAcentral
UCUCUAGUGGUCUAGUGGCUAAGACUCCACACUCCCAGUGCAGGGGGCCCAGGUUCGAGCCCUGGUCAGGGAG